This 465-nucleotide ribosomal RNA is filed under the name uncultured bacterium. RNAcentral describes it as "partial 16S ribosomal RNA". It matches the Rfam family "Bacterial small subunit ribosomal RNA", at positions 28 to 507 of the family's 1533-position model. The record is from RNAcentral.
GACGAACGCUGGCGGCGUGCUUAACACAUGCGAGUCGAACGGAAAGGCCCUGCUUGCAGGGUACUCGAGUGGCGAACGGGUGAGUAACACGUGGGUGAUCUGCCCUGCACUUCGGGAUAAGCCUGGGAAACUGGGUCUAAUACCGGAUAGGAGCCAUUUUUAGUGUGAUGGUUGGAAAGUUUUUUCGGUGUAGGAUGAGCUCGCGGCCUAUCAGCUUGUUGGUGGGGUAAUGGCCUACCAAGGCGGCGACGGGUAGCCGGCCUGAGAGGGUGGACGGCCACAUUGGGACUGAGAUACGGCCCAGACUCCUACGGGAGGCAGCAGUGGGGAAUAUUGCACAAGGGGCGCAAGCCUGAUGCAGCGACGCCGCAUGGGGGAGGACGGCCUUCGGAUUGUAAACUCCUUUCGCUAGGGACGAAGCUUUUUGUGACGGUACCUAGAGAAGAAGCACCGGCUAACUACGUG